Molecule: ribosomal RNA, 504 nt
Filed under: uncultured bacterium
Lineage: Bacteria
Description: partial 16S ribosomal RNA
Rfam family: Bacterial small subunit ribosomal RNA (bases 15-371)
Source: RNAcentral
GACGAACGCUGGCGGCGUGCUUAACACAUGCAAGUCGAACGGAAAGGCCCUGCUUUUGUGGGGUGCUCGAGUGGCGAACGGGUGAGUAACACGUGAGUAACCUGCCCUUGACUUUGGGAUAACUUCAGGAAACUGGGGCUAAUACCGGAUAGGAGCUCCUGCUGCAUGGUGGGGGUUGGAAAGUUUCGGCGGUUGGGGAUGGACUCGCGGCUUAUCAGCUUGUUGGUGGGGUAGUGGCUUACCAAGGCUUUGACGGGUAGCCGGCCUGAGAGGGUGACCGGCCUGAGUGGGACAGUAGCACGGACAGAACGAGGACGGGAGGGAGGAGGGAGGAAUAAUGCAGAGGGGGCGGAAGCCUGCAGGAGACACGCGGGGUGGGGGAUGAGGACCUUUGGGUUGUAAGCCGUGUGCGAAUGUGAAGAAGAGGGAGGGAGGGGAAGGAGUAAACAAGAACCGACGAACGACGGAGAAGCGCAUUAUAUAAGGGACGACCACUCGCCUAAU